GUUGCUAGUGGCGGACGGGUGAGUAACGCGUGGGUAACCUGCCUUAUACAGGGGGAUAACAACCAGAAAUGGUUGCUAAUACCGCAUAAGCGCACAGUACCGCAUGGUACAGUGUGAAAAACUCCGGUGGUGUGAGAUGGACCCGCGUCUGAUUAGCUAGUUGGCAGGGCAGCGGCCUACCAAGGCGACGAUCCAUAGCCGGCCUGAGAGGGUGAACGGCCACAUUGGGACUGAGACACGGCCCAGACUCC
RNAcentral lists this ribosomal RNA (251 nucleotides) under uncultured Eubacteriales bacterium. RNAcentral's name for it is "uncultured Clostridiales bacterium partial 16S ribosomal RNA". It matches the Rfam family "Bacterial small subunit ribosomal RNA", at positions 88 to 339 of the family's 1533-position model. The record is from RNAcentral. Lineage: Bacteria; Bacillati; Bacillota; Clostridia; Eubacteriales.